Molecule: ribosomal RNA, 623 nt
Filed under: Thaxterogaster mutabilis
Lineage: Eukaryota; Fungi; Basidiomycota; Agaricomycetes; Agaricales; Cortinariaceae
Description: eukaryotic LSU rRNA
Rfam family: Eukaryotic large subunit ribosomal RNA
Source: RNAcentral
GUGACCUCAAAUCAGGUAGGACUACCCGCUGAACUUAAGCAUAUCAAUAAGCGGAGGAAAAGAAACUAACAAGGAUUCCCCUAGUAACUGCGAGUGAAGCGGGAAAAGCUCAAAUUUAAAAUCUGGCAGUCUCUGGCUGUCCGAGUUGUAAUCUAGAGAAGUGUUAUCCGCGCUGGACCGUGUACAAGUCUCCUGGAAUGGAGCGUCAUAGAGGGUGAGAAUCCCGUCUUUGACACGGACUGCCAGGGCUUUGUGAUGCGCUCUCAAAGAGUCGAGUUGUUUGGGAAUGCAGCUCAAAAUGGGUGGUAAAUUCCAUCUAAAGCUAAAUAUUGGCGAGAGACCGAUAGCGAACAAGUACCGUGAGGGAAAGAUGAAAAGAACUUUGGAAAGAGAGUUAAACAGUACGUGAAAUUGCUGAAAGGGAAACGCUUGAAGUCAGUCGCGUUGGCCAGGGAUCAACCUUGCUUUUGCUUGGUGCACUUUCUGGUUGAUGGGUCAGCAUCAAUUUUGACUAUUGGAAAAAGGUCAAGGGAAUGUGGCAUCUUCGGAUGUGUUAUAGCCCUUAGCUGCAUACAAUGGUUGGGAUUGAGGAACUCAGCACGCCGCAAGGCCGGGUUUAACCA